RNAcentral lists this transfer RNA (74 nucleotides) under Imasa heleensis. RNAcentral's name for it is "tRNA-Pro". It matches the Rfam family "tRNA". Rfam says of the family: Transfer RNA (tRNA) molecules are approximately 80 nucleotides in length. Lineage: Eukaryota; Malawimonada; Malawimonadea; Malawimonadida; Imasidae. The record is from RNAcentral.
CAGAGUAUAACGCAGUCUGGUAGCGUGCUUGCUUUGGGAGCAAGAUGUCAUGUGUUCAAAUCACAUUACUCUGA